This 293-nucleotide ribosomal RNA is filed under the name uncultured bacterium. RNAcentral's name for it is "partial 16S ribosomal RNA". It matches the Rfam family "Archaeal small subunit ribosomal RNA", at positions 455 to 747 of the family's 1478-position model. The record is from RNAcentral.
GUGCCAGCAGCCGCGGUACUACCGGCAGCCCGAGUGAUGACCGAUCUUAUUGGGCCUAAAGCGUCCGUAGCUGGCCGACCAAGUCUCCCGGGAAAUCCACCUGCCCAACGGGUGGGCGUCCGGUAGAAACUGGCCGGCUUGGAACCGGAAGGCUCAGAGAGUACGUCCGGGGUAGGAGUGAAAUCCCGUAAUCCCGGACGGACUACCGAUGGUGAAAGCACCCUGAGAAGACGGCUUCGACAGUGAGGGACGAAAGCUCGGGUCUCAAACCGGAUUAGAAACCCUUGUAGUCC